This 306-nucleotide ribosomal RNA is filed under the name uncultured bacterium. Its description in RNAcentral is "partial 16S ribosomal RNA". It matches the Rfam family "Bacterial small subunit ribosomal RNA", at positions 505 to 807 of the family's 1533-position model. The record is from RNAcentral.
GACAGCAGCAGCCGCGGUAAUACAGAGGGUGCGAGCGUUAAUCGGAUUUACUGGGCGUAAAGCGUGCGUAGGCGGCUUUUUAAGUCGGAUGUGAAAUCCCUGAGCUUAACUUAGGAAUUGCAUUCGAUACUGGGAAGCUAGAGUAUGGGAGAGGAUGGUAGAAUUCCAGGUGUAGCGGUGAAAUGCGUAGAGAUCUGGAGGAAUACCGAUGGCGAAGGCAGCCAUCUGGCCUAAUACUGACGCUGAGGUACGAAAGCAUGGGGAGCAAACAGGAUUAGAUACCCCGGUAGUCCCUGUCUCUUAUAC